GAGUUUGAUCCUGGCUCAGAUUGAACGCUGGCGGCAGGCCUAACACAUGCAAGUCGAGCGGUAGCACAGAGAGCUUGCUCUCGGGUGACGAGCGGCGGACGGGUGAGUAAUGUCUGGGAAACUGCCUGAUGGAGGGGGAUAACUACUGGAAACGGUAGCUAAUACCGCAUAAUGUCGCAAGACCAAAGUGGGGGACCUUCGGGCCUCAUGCCAUCAGAUGUGCCCAGAUGGGAUUAGCUAGUAGGUGGGGUAACGGCUCACCUAGGCGACGAUCCCUAGCUGGUCUGAGAGGAUGACCAGCCACACUGGAACUGAGACACGGUCCAGACUCCUACGGGAGGCAGCAGUGGGGAAUAUUGCACAAUGGGCGCAAGCCUGAUGCAGCCAUGCCGCGUGUGUGAAGAAGGCCUUCGGGUUGUAAAGCACUUUCAGCGGGGAGGAAGGCGUUAAGGUUAAUAACCUUGGCGAUUGACGUUACCCGCAGAAGAAGCACCGGCUAACUCCGUGCCAGCAGCCGCGGUAAUACGGAGGGUGCAAGCGUUAAUCGGAAUUACUGGGCGUAAAGCGCACGCAGGCGGUCUGUCAAGUCGGAUGUGAAAUCCCCGGGCUCAACCUGGGAACUGCAUUCGAAACUGGCAGGCUAGAGUCUUGUAGAGGGGGGUAGAAUUCCAGGUGUAGCGGUGAAAUGCGUAGAGAUCUGGAGGAAUACCGGUGGCGAAGGCGGCCCCCUGGACAAAGACUGACGCUCAGGUGCGAAAAGCGUGGGGAGCAAACAGGAUUAGAUACCCUGGUAGUCCACGCCGUAAACGAUGUCGAUUUGGAGGUUGUGCCCUUGAGGCGUGGCUUCCGGAGCUAACGCGUUAAAUCGACCGCCUGGGGAGUACGGCCGCAAGGUUAAAACUCAAAUGAAUUGACGGGGGCCCGCACAAGCGGUGGAGCAUGUGGUCUAAUUCGAUGCAACGCGAAGAACCUUACCUGGUCUUGACAUCCACAGAACUUUCCAGAGAUGGAUUGGUGCCUUCGGGAACUGUGAGACAGGUGCUGCAUGGCUGUCGUCAGCUCGUGUUGUGAAAUGUUGGGUUAAGUCCCGCAACGAGCGCAACCCUUAUCCUUUGUUGCCAGCGGUUCGGCCGGGAACUCAAAGGAGACUGCCAGUGAUAAACUGGAGGAAAGUGGGGAUGACGUCAAGUCAUCAUGGCCCUUACGACCAGGGCUACACACGUGCUACAAUGGCAUAUACAAAGAGAAGCGACCUCGCGAGAGCAAGCGGACCUCAUAAAGUAUGUCGUAGUCCGGAUUGGAGUCUGCAACUCGACUCCAUGAAGUCGGAAUCGCUAGCAAUCGUAGAUCAGAAUGCUACGGUGAAUACGUUCCCGGGCCUUGUACACACCGCCCGUCACACCAUGGGAGUGGGUUGCAAAAGAAGUAGGUAGCUUAACCUUCGGGAGGGCGCUUACCACUUUGUGAUUCAUGACUGGGGUGAAGUCGUAACAAGGUAGCGUA
RNAcentral lists this ribosomal RNA (1503 nucleotides) under Klebsiella sp. enrichment culture clone SRC_DSB5. RNAcentral describes it as "bacterial SSU rRNA". It matches the Rfam family "Bacterial small subunit ribosomal RNA". The record is from RNAcentral. Lineage: Bacteria; Pseudomonadati; Pseudomonadota; Gammaproteobacteria; Enterobacterales; Enterobacteriaceae.